This 4985-nucleotide unclassified non-coding RNA is filed under the name Hevea brasiliensis (rubber tree). The record is from RNAcentral. Lineage: Eukaryota; Viridiplantae; Streptophyta; Magnoliopsida; Malpighiales; Euphorbiaceae.
GAAGUCCAGAUUAAUGCAACAAUUGGAUAAGGGAAAUGGGACCCAUGUAGAGUAAAUUUUGGUCUCCCUGGCCUGACCCGCCCGACCCCAGCACAGACACGCACAUCACAGAGCGCACACCAAACCCUAAUCACUCCACCUCUAUCUUCGCCAUUUCUUUCUCUCGUCUCCUAGUUUUAACCGCAAUGCCAUUCAUGGCCCCAUCCCAAGUUCCCGUUUUGCUUCCUUCCAGAUCCAUUUACUGCUUUCUGAGGUUUGCUUAACACAAUAUCUGUACACUUCAUUAACUUAUUGGAGAUUGUGUUUAUUCACUUUGUGGUUGUAGUUGCGGAUAGAAUUGAUUUUAUUUCAAUGUGCUGAUUGUCCGAUUAUGGAACUGUAGAUCUGAAUCUGUGUAUUAGUGUCGUGUUAAUUUUCCCUUUUUGAAGAUGAUUUAAGAUUGAUCUUCACUUUUUUGGAGAUGAAUCACUGGGAAUUGGUAUUUGCUUCCAUCCAAAGUGUAGUUUUUUAGCUUUUCAAGCUUAUGGGUAUUCUUGAUCAGUGAUUAUCAGUUCCUGUCUUGUAAUAAAGUUCAGAUUUUUUUUUUUUAUGUAAAUGUGGGAGUGGUAAGAAUUUUCAGGGGAUCUGCUAUUUCCAGAUUCUCUUUUUCUUUUUUUCCCUUUUGUUUUUUUGGAGGGGGGGUGGGGUGGUGGUGUUUCUUGGUCCUUGACAGUUGGAAAUUUAAGGUGGCAAGAAAGAUGUCUUUCCGUAGCAUACUUCAGGACAUGAGGGGUGAGUUUGGGAGCAUGUCUAGGAAGGGGUUCGAUAUUAAAUUUGGUUACGGGAUGCGAUCGAGGUCCCACAGGGUGGUUCAGGAUAGCUGUUUCAUGCCUGUUGAUGCAUUUAAGCAGAGCUGUUGGGCUAACAUGCCGCCUGAGCUUUUGAGGGAUGUGCUGAUGAGAAUUGAGGCAUCUGAGACUACCUGGCCAUCCCUGAAGAAUGUGGUUGCUUGUGCUGGUGUCUGUAGAAAUUGGAGAGAGAUCAUGAAAGAAAUUGUGAAAACUCUGGAAGAUUCAGGCAAAUUGACAUUCCCAAUCUCCUUGAAACAGGUUUAUUGGCCCUCAUUCAGGUUUUAAAUAAGUUUUAUUUUCUGUUAUUUAUGUGUCUUGCUAGUGUAGUGAAAUCCAGAUGCGUUAGUAACAAUUUGGAAAAUGCUAGUCGUUCUAUAUCGUUAUAUUAAACUAUGGAACAAUAGUGUUUUAUAAUCAGUUGCUGGAUUAUAGUUGUGUAUCAAUGUGAUGGGAAUAAUUAUAGUUAUUUGACUCUUCCUUUGAUGAAAAUUUCAGCCAUCUUGCGGCUCUACUAUUAAUUUUAAUGCUGUGAAAUUACAUAGUUGUCUUUACUUACUUUACUUUGCAAAAUUUCAGCAAUCACAGGGGAAGGUCUCACCUUUUCUCCCACUUAUAUGAGGGGUACUUGCUUUUUCUUUGGAUUUUAAACAUAUUACUUGGUUUUGCUUGUUGUCAUUGAUGGCAAUGGCUUGUUGAGUUAUGCUAUAAUAAGGUUAUUGUCAUAAUGAUGCUCUGAAAUAUGUCUACUUGGAUUGGCAUGCUUUAUAUUUUCUGAGUUGAUAUUCUUUCAAAGAUCAUAAAGUUCCUUUUUGUAGUGGUGGAAUUAUGGGCUUCUUGGAGUUUUCUGUAAUGCCAUGAGUAGAAACUAUUUGAACACCUCUCUCUCUCUUGUUAUAAAAAUUGUAAAUGGAAAUUUUAACUUCUGUUAUCUAAGAUCUAAGGCAUUUAUGUUUUCCCACUACUGCUAAUUUCAAAGUUCUUGGGUUAUUUAUUUUUGCAGCCUGGUCCAAGGGACUCCCUCCUUCAGUGCUACAUUAAACGGAAUCGUAGCAACCAAACAUAUUAUCUGUACCUCAGCUUAAAUCAAGCAUCAAAUGAUGAUGGUAAGUUUCUUCUUGCUGCACGAAGGUGCAGAAGGCCUACUUGCACAGAUUACAUUAUAUCUUUAAACUUUGGUGAUGUGUCCAGGGGAAGCAGCACUUACAUUGGAAAGUUGAGAUCCAAUUUUCUGGGAACCAAGUUCACAAUCUAUGAUGCACAGCCUCCAAAUUCUGGAGCCAAAGUUGCUAAAUGUCGCUCCACCAGGAUAGUUAACAUGAAACAGGUCUCCCCCAGGGUCCCUGCAGGGAACUGUCCUGUGGCCCAUGUCUCGUAUGAGCUGAAUGUCUUAGGUUCAAGGUAAGAGAGGUGUUUCUUGAAACUUUCUGCUUGUUUUCUAGGGAAUAUAAUUAUGUUCAGCAAGGAAAAAAAGAUAUUGAAGCAUGCAUUCUGGUGAAUAUUGUUUGUUCCUCUUCCUCUAUGGAGGAUGGAUAUUUAGUUUCACACUAUAAUUUUCCGGGUGCCAAAUCUAUGUGAUAUUCAGAGGUCCAAGGAGAAUGCAAUGCGUUAUGGAUGCCAUCCCUGUCUCUUCUAUUGAACCUGGUGGAGUGGCCCCUACGCAGACUGAAUUUCUGCAUACCAAGUUGGAUUCCUUUCCAUCACUUCCCUUUUUCAGAUCAAAAUCCACCCGAGCAGAGAAUUUCCAAUCUGGUCCUUUGGCUGGCUACAAGGAUGAAAUGCUAGUGUUAAGGAACAAGGCACCCAGGUGGCAUGAACAACUCCAGUGUUGGUGUCUGAACUUCAAUGGGCGGGUGACUGUUGCUUCAGUUAAGAACUUUCAGCUGGUUGCUUCUGCAGAGAAUGGAGUUGGCAGGCAAGAGCAUGAGAACGUAGUACUUCAGUUUGGAAAAGUGGGAAAGGAUGUGUUCACUAUGGAUUAUCAAUAUCCUAUCUCUGCUUUCCAGGCAUUUGCUAUAUGCCUUAGCAGCUUUGACACCAAGAUCGCUUGUGAAUGACCGACAAGCAGGUGUGAAUCCAGUGGCUUGCUUGAACUCUCGAUUUUUGAAUUCAUGUGGAGAGGCCUUUCUGAUCAUAUUGAUUUUGCUGUUUUUGCUCUUCUGAACCUACUGAAGUUUGUUUUUUCGUUUAGCUUAUUUGUCAUCUGUUGUGCAUAAUUGUCAUUCUGAGCCUGUUGUUGUUCAGUGAACUCUUUUUCUAGCAAUGCCAUCUGUCAAUCUAUUAACUUUCAACCUUAUGGUUAACUGCUGUAAUAUUUUUGUAGUGAAAUGCAUUGCCUGAUGUCUCUUUGCCUGGCUUUGAAAUUUAGAUUGAUGUAGAUCAUAGGGCUUUUAGCAUUUUUUAACCCUAUUAAUAUUCUUCUACACCUCUAAUGAGAAAAUAACAAUUGUCUUUCAAUUGGCCUUUCAAAGGUAUUAUUUGGUUACCAAGUCAUUUUGGUAACUUGGUAUUUGGGUACAUCAAUUGCUUUGGACUACACUGGUUUUAACUUUUUGUCUUGAAUGUGUCAUGGGUGCACCCCUCCGCCUCCCCUCGCCUUCCUUCUCCAAAUCCUUCUUGACCUUGUGCCCUAUUGCUAUUAGCAUUUAGCAAAUGAUUUGAAGUUGCUGCAUUUUUCCUUACAGGAGCAUUUGUUGGCUUGUAGCUGUAUGGCAUGGGAGCAUUCUGCAACAAAGUUUCUGACUAGUUCAAUCUGUUUACUUCUAAUUGCCCUGUGAAGAGUUAGGAUUUUUAUUUUUUGAAUUAUUUCUGUACAUAUUAACUGUUUGCAUUAUGAGCCAAAUGUGCUCCAAUCUGUAGGUUGUGCUGUGGCUGACAAACAUCAUCACUUGGUUCAUUGUGUUGGAUACUUGACACCUUAACAGGGAGUUGUUUGAGAGUUCACGCGUAGUUUUCCUAGUCGAAGGCUACUGUUGCUUCAGAUGUUGUAUUCCUACUUAUUGUGUAGCUUAAGAAAUGCUUCCCUUGUUGAACAACUAGAAACUUAGGAUUUGCUAAUUUUGUGUGCUUGCCAAAAUUAUGUGUACAUGUCUGUAUUACCGUUGGCACUGCAGAAGUCAUGGUUGAAUUAUGGCGCAAAACAACUAUAGAUAUGAUGCAGAUUCAUUUAUUCUCACAUUGACAUUGUGCUUUGGCACUGGAUGCCCCAAAAUCUUUGCCUUAUGUUGAGGGUGGGAUGUGGGAUCAGACUAGGCAAGUAAAUCUAUUGGCCCCCAAAGGAAUAUGCUGUGAAAAUUUUUUAUGCAUGCGGAAGCAAGGGGCUGAUUUUACUGAGAAAUAGAACAUCCGAAUGACCAUUUGAACUUGGCAUGUUGAAAUGGAUGUGUUUUCUCCUUCAAAUCUGAGAAAUGAGGAGGACUUGUCCAUGUCAAAUAAAAUAAAUGAAAGGAACGAAAACGUGCUUAUCCCAUCAAAUUAGAAAUAUAUGUUCUGUAACAUAUUCAGGCACAGCUACAAUCUGUAAUCAUACCACCUGUAAAAUUGAUUCAGUUGCUGAUUGGUAUAAAAUAUUAAUAUCAAUAAACAAGAUAUUCAUACAUUCAAAGCCCUGUCUGAAGUGGAGCAGAGACCUUCAAAGUAGGGAUGAUAAUGUGUUGGAUAAAAACACUAAUUAAAUUCAAAUUCAGAUAGAGUGAUAUUUAAGAUAUUCUAUAAAUUGCUAUCCCUACUCCAAAUCAGUGUGGUCAUAAGCAUCCUAAAUAAUUGACCAUGAUUUAAAGCUAUAGGGUAAACAACAAUUUAAGAAAUUAUCAGAGAAGAACAGAAAUGAAAGAGCUUCUGAGCAAGUUUACAGAGAAGGAAACCGUUAUUCCAUGACUGAAUGGAUCAGCAGAGGAUCAGAAUAGUGGGGGUGGGGGUCCACCAGGACCAGGUGGACCAUAUGGACCGCGAGGUCCACCAAAGCAAUCCUGUAUCAACCAACAACAGCACAAGCAGUAGAACAAAGAAGAUACCAUGCUGCAUAAACCAUCAGCAAGCCCUCCAAAAAAACCACCAGGUCCAGGACCCCAAGGCCCCCCAGGACCCCAGCCAGGUCCUCCAGGUCCAGGACCCCAGCCAGGUCCUCCAGGUCCAGGACCCCAGCCAGGUCCUCCAGGU